Molecule: ribosomal RNA, 253 nt
Filed under: uncultured bacterium
Lineage: Bacteria
Description: partial 16S ribosomal RNA
Rfam family: Bacterial small subunit ribosomal RNA
Source: RNAcentral
UACGAAGGGGGCUAGCGUUGCUCGGAAUCACUGGGCGUAAAGCGCACGUAGGCGGCUUCUUAAGUCAGUGGUGAAAUCCUGGAGCUCAACUCCAGAACUGCCUUUGAUACUGAGGAGCUUGAGUCCGGGAGAGGUGAGUGGAACUGCGAGUGUAGAGGUGAAAUUCGUAGAUAUUCGCAAGAACACCAGUGGCGAAGGCGGCUCACUGGCCCGGUACUGACGCUGAGGUGCGAAAGCGUGGUGAGCAAACGGG